Molecule: ribosomal RNA, 392 nt
Filed under: uncultured Nitrospina sp.
Lineage: Bacteria; Pseudomonadati; Nitrospinota; Nitrospinia; Nitrospinales; Nitrospinaceae
Description: bacterial SSU rRNA
Rfam family: Bacterial small subunit ribosomal RNA
Source: RNAcentral
AACGAACGCUGGCGGUGUGCUUAACACAUGCAAGUCGAACGAGAAAGUUUCCUUCGGGAAGCGAGUAAAGUGGCGCAAGGGUGAGUAACACGUGAAUAAUCUACCCUCGAGACUGGGAUAACCUGGUGAAAACUAGGCUAAUACCGGAUAAGACCACAUCCCGCAAGGGAUGCGGGAAAAAGGGGCGUCAACCUCCACUUGGGGAGUGAGUUCGCGGACCAUUAGCUUGUUGGUGAGAUAACAGCUCACCAAGGCUACGAUGGUUAGCCGGCCUGAGAGGGUGAACGGCCACACUGGAACUGAGACACGGUCCAGACUCCUACGGGAGGCAGCAGUGGGGAAGUAUUGCGCAAUGGGCGAAAGCCUGACGCAGCAACACCGCGUGAGCGAUG